UUGGCACCACGACCUUCGGGCGCUUAUUUUUGGACGCGGCUGUGCCCGCGACUUCCCGCGGGCACCCCGAGGCCCCUCGCAAAGUCUCGCCCCAUUCCGAGUCCGGUGGACGAACUUCGCCCGCGCCCCCCACCAAGGCUAUAGCCCACCCAUUUUUUGGCCAUUUUUCCGCUGGGGGGUUUUGGCACCACGACCUUCGGGCGCUUAUUUUUGGGCGCGGCCUUGCCCACGGCUUAUUUUUGGCACCCCGAGGCCCCUCGCAAAGUCUCGCCCCAUUCCGAGUCCGGCGGACGAACUUCGCCAGCGCCCCCCACCAAGGCUAUAGCCCACCCGUUUUUUGGCCAUUUUUCCGCUGGGGGGUUUUGGCACCACGACCUUCGGGCGCUUAUUUUUGGACGCGGCUGUGCCCGCGACUUCCCGCGGGCACUCCGAGGCCCCUCGCAAAGUCUCGCCCCAUUCCGAGUCCGGCGGACGAACUUCGCCCGCGCCCCCCACCAAGGCUAUAGCCCACCCGUUUUUUGGCCAUUUUUCCGCUGGGGGGUUUUGGCACCACGACCUUCGGGCGCUUAUUUUUGGGCGCGGCUUUGCCCGCGGCUUAUUUUUGGCACCCCGAGGCCCCUCGCAAAGUCUCGCCCCAUUCCGAUUCCGGCGGACGAACUUCGCACGCGCCCCCCACUAAGGCUAUAGCCCACCCGUUUUUUGGCCAUUUUUCCGCUGGGGGGUUUUGGCACCACGACCUUCGGGUGCUUAUUUUUGGACGCGGCUGUGCCCGCGACUUCCCGCAGGCACCCCGAGGCCCCUCGCAAAGUCACGCCCCAUUCUGAGUCCGGCGGACGAACUUCGCCCGCGCCCCCCACCAAGGCUAUAGCCCACCCGUUUUUUGGCCAUUUUUCCGCUGGGGGGUUUUGGCACCACGACCUUCAGGCGCUUAUUUUUGGUGCGCCGAGGCCCCUCGCAAAGUCUCGCCCCAUUCCGAGCCCGGCGGACGAACUUCGCCCGCGCCCCCCACCAAGGCUAUAGCCCACCCGUUUUUUGGCCAUUUUUCCGCUGGGGGGUUUUGGCACCACGACCUUCAGGCGCUUAUUUUUGGGCGCGGCUUUGCCCGCGGCUUAUUUUUGGUGCGCCGAGGCCCCUCGCAAAGUCUCGCCCCAUUCCGAGUCCGGCGGACGAACUUCGCUCGCGCCCCCCACGAAGGCUAUAGGCCACCCCUUUUUUGGCCAUUUUUCCGCUGGCGGGUUUUGGCACCACGACCUUCGGGCGCUUAUUUUUGGGCGCGGCUUUGCCCGCGGCUUAUUUUUGGCGCCCCGAGGCUCCUCGCAAAGUCUCGCCCCAUUCCGAGUCCGGCGCACGAACUUCGCCCGCGCCCCCCACCAAGGCUAUAGCCCACCCGUUUUUUGGCCAUUUUUCCGCUGGGGGGUUUUGGCACCAUGACCUUCGGGCGCUUAUUUCUGGACGCGGCUGUGCCCGCGACUUCCCGCGGGCACCCCGAGGCCCCUCGCAAAGUCUCGCCCCAUUCCGAGUCCGGCGGACGAACUUCGCCCGCGCCCCCCACCAAGGCUAUAGCCCACCCGUUUUUUGGCCAUUUUUCCGCUGGGGGGUUUUGGCACCACGACCUUCGGGCUCUUAUUUCUGGACGCGGCUGUGCCCGCGACUUCCCGCGGGCACCCCGAGGCCCCUCGCAAAGUCUCGCCCCAUUCCGAGUCCGGCGGACGAACUUCGCCCGCGCCCCCCACCAAGGCUAUAGCCCACCCAUUUUUUGGCCAUUUUUCCGCUGGGGGGUUUUGGCAACACGACCUUCGGGCACUUAUUUUUGGGCGCGGCGUUGCCCGCGGCUUAUUUUGGGCACCCCGAGGCCCCUCGCAAAGUCUCGCCCCAUUCCGAGUCCGGCGGACGAACUUCGCCCGCGCCCCCCACCAAGGCUAUAGCCCACCCGUUUUUUGGCCAUUUUUCCGCUGGGGGGUUUUGGCACCACGACCAUCGGGCUCUUAUUUUUGGACGCGGCUUGUCCAGCGACUUCCCGCGGGCACCCCGAGGCCCCUCGCAAAGUCUCGCCCCAUUCCGAGUCCGGCGGACGAACUUCGCCCGCGCCCCCCACCAAGGCUAUAGCCCACCCGUUUUUUGGCCAUUUUUCCGCUGGGGGGUUUUGGCACCACGACCUUCGGGCACUUAUUUUUGGACGCAGCUGUGCCCGCGACUUCCCGCGAGCACCCCGAAGCCCCUCGCAAAGUCUCGCCCCAUUCCGAGUCCGGCGGACGAACUUCGCCCGCGCCCCCCACCAAGGCUAUAGCCCACCCGUUUUUUGGCCAUUUUUCCGCUGGGGGGUUUUGGCACCACGACUUUCGGGCGCUUAUUUUUGGGCGCGGCUUUGCCCGCAGCUUAUUUUUGGCGCCCCGAGGCCCUGCACAAAGUCUCGCCCCAUUCCGAGUCCGGCGGACGAACUUCGCCCGCGCCCCCCACCAAGGCUAUAGCCCAGCCGUCUUUUGGCCAUUUUUCCGCUGGGGGGUUUUGGCACCACGACCUUCAGGCGCUUAUUUUUGGGCGCAGCUUUGCCCACGGCUUAUUUUUGGUGCCCCGAUGCCCCUCGCAAAGUCUCGCCCCAGUCCGAGUCCGGCGGACGAACUUCGCCCGCGCCCCCCACCAAGGCUAUAGCCCACCCGUUUUUUGGCCAUUUUUCCGCUGGGGGGUUUUGGCACCACGACCUUCGGGCGCUUAUUUCUGGACGCGGCUGUGCCCGCGACUUCCCGCGGGCACCCCGAGGCCCCUCGCAAAGUCUCGCCCCANNNNNNNNNNNNNNNNNNNNNNNNNNNNNNNNNNNNNNNNNNNNNNNNNNNNNNNNNNNNNNNNNNNNNNNNNNNNNNNNNNNNNNNNNNNNNNNNNNNNCCAACCCGUUUUUUGGCCAAUUUUCCGCUGGGGGGGUUUUGGCACCACGACCUUCGGGCUCUUAUUUCUGGACGCGGCUGUGCCCGUGACUUCCCGCGGGCACCCCGAGGCCCCUCGCAAAGUCUCGCCACAUUCCGAGUCCGGCGGACGAACUUCGCCCGCGCCCCCCACCAAGGCUAUAGCCCACCCGUUUUUUGGCCAUUUUUCCGCUGGGGGGUUUUGGCAACACGACCUUCGGGCGCUUAUUUUUGGACACGGCUGUGCCCGCGACUUCCCGCGGGCACCCCAAGGCCCCUCGCAAAGUCUCGCCCCAUUCCGAGUCCGGCGGACGAACUUCGCCCGCGCCCCCCACCAAGGCUAUAGCCCACCCGUUUUUUGGCCAUUUUUCCGCUGGGGGGUUUUGGCACCACGACCUUCGGGCGCUUAUUUUUGGACGCGGCUGUGCCCGCGACUUCCCGCGGGCACCUCGAGGCCCCUCGCAAAGUCUCGCCCCAUUCCGAGUCCGGCGGACGAACUUCGCCCGCGCCCCCCACCAAGGCUAUAGCCCACCCGUUUUUUGGCCAUUUUUCCGCUGGGGGGUUUUGGCACCACGACCUUUGGGCGCUUAUUUUUGGGCGCGGCUUUGUCCGCGGCUUAUUUUUGGCACCCCGAGGCCCCUAGCAAAGUCUCGCCCCAUUCCGAGUCCGGCGGACGAACUUCGCCCGCGCCCCCCACCAAGGCUAUAGCCCACCCGUUUUUUGGCCAUUUUUCCGCUGGGGGGUUUUGGCACCACGACCUUCGGGCGCUUAUUUUUGGGCACGGCUUUGCCCGCGGCUUAUUUUUGGUGCCCCGAGGCCCCUCGCAAAGUCUCGCCCCAUUCCGAGUCCGGCAGACGAACUUCGCCCGCGCCCCCCACCAAGGCUAUAGCCCACCCGUUUUUUGGCCAUUUUUCCGCUGGGGGGGUUUUGGCACCACGACCUUCGGGCGCUAAUUUUUGGGUGCGGCUGUGCCCGCGACUUCCCGCGGGCACCCCGAGGCCCCUCGCAAAAUCUCGCCCCAUUCCGAGUCCGGCGGACGAACUUCGCCCGCGCCCCCCACCAAGGCUAUAGCCCACCCGUUUUUUGGCCAUUUUUCCGCUGGGGGGUUUUGGCACCACGACCAUCGGGCGCUUAUUUUUGGGCGCGGCUGUGCCCGCGACUUCCCGCGGGCACCCCGAGGCCCCUCGCAAAGUCUCGCCCCAUUCCGAGUCCGGCGGACGAACUUCGCCCGCGCCCCCCACCAAGGCUAUAGCCCACCCGUUUUUUGGCCAUUUUUCCGCUCGGGGGUUUUGGCACCACGACCUUCGGGUGCUUAUGUUUGGGCGCGGCUUUGCCCGCGGCUUAUUUUUGGCACCCCGAGGCCCCUUGCAAAGUCUCGCCCCAUUCCGAGUCCGGCGGACGAACUUCGCCCGCGCCCCCCACCAAGGCUAUAGCCCACCCGUUUUUUGGCCAUUUUUCCGCUGGGAGGUUUUGGCACCACGACCUUCGGGCGCUUAUUUUUGGGCGCGGCUUUGCCCGCGGCUUAUUUUUGGCACCCCGAGGCCCCUCGCAAAGUCUCGCCGCAUUCCGAGUCCGGCGGACGAACUUCGCCCGCGCCCCCCACCAAGGCUAUAGCCCACCCGUUUUUUGGCCAUUUUUCCGCUGGGGGGUUUUGGCUCCACGACCUUCGGGCGCUUAUUUUUGGGCGCGGCUUUGCCCGCGGCUUAUUUUUGGCACCCCGAGGCCCCUCGCAAAGUCUUGCGGCAUUCCGAGUCCGGCGGACGAACUUCGCCCGCGCCCCCCACCAAGGCUAUAGCCCACCCGUUUUUUGGCCAUUUUUCCGCUGGGGGGUUUUGGCACCACGACCUUCGGGCGCUUAUUUUUGGGCGCGGCUUGGCCCGCGGCUUAUUUUUGGCACCCCGAGGCCCCUCGCAAAGUCUCGCCCCAUUCCGAGUCCGGCGGACGAACUUCGCCCGCGCCCCCCACCAAGGCUAUAGCCCACCCGUUUUUUGGCCAUUUUUCCGGUGGGGGGUUUUGGCACCACGACCUUCGGGCGCUUAUUUCUGGGCGCGGCUUUGCCCGCGGCUUAUUUUUGGCACCCCGAGGCCCCUCGCAAAGUCUCGCCGCAUUCCGAGUCCGGCGGACGAACUUCGCCCGCGCCCCCCACCAAGACUAUAGCCCACCCGUUUUUUGGCCAUUUUUCCGCUGGGGGGUUUUGGCACCACGACCUUCGGGCGCUUAUUUUUGGGCGCGGCUUUGCCCGGGGCUUAUUUUUGGCACGCCGAGGCCCCUCGCAAAGUCUCGCCGCAUUCCGAGUCCGGCGGACGAACUUCGCCCGCGCCCCCCACCAAGGCUAUAGCCCACCCGUUUUUUGGCCAUUUUUCCGCUGGGGGGUUUUGGCACCACGACCUUCGGGCGCUUAUUUUUGGGCGCGGCUUUGCCCGCGGCUUAUUUUUGGCACCCCGAGGCCCCUCGCAAAGUCUCGCCGCAUUCCGAGUCCGGCGGACGAACUUCGCCCGCGCCCCCCACCAAGGCUAUAGCCCACCCGUUUUUUGGCCAUUUUUCCGCUGGGGGGUUUUGGCACCACGACCUUCGGGCGCUUAUUUUUGGGCGCGGCUUUGCCCGCGGCUUAUUUUUGGCACCCCGAGGCCCCUCGCAAAGUCUCGCCGCAUUCCGAGUCCGGCGGACGAACUUCGCCCGCGCCCCCCACCAAGGCUAUAGCCCACCCGUUUUUUGGCCAUUUUUCCGCUGGGGGGUUUUGGCACCACGACCUUCGGGCGCUUAUUUUUGGGCGCGGCUUUGCCCGCGGCUUAUUUUUGGCACCCCGAGGCCCCUCGCAAAGUCUCGCCGCAUUCCGAGUCCGGCGGACGAACUUCGCCCGCGCCCCCCACCAAGGCUAUAGCCCACCCGUUUUUUGGCCAUUUUUCCGCUGGGGGGUUUUGGCACCACGACUUUCGGGCGCUUAUUUUUGGGCGCGGCUUUGCCCGCGGCUUAUUUUUGGCACCCCGAGGCCCCUCGCAAAGUCUCGCCGCAUUCCGAGUCCGGCGGACGAACUUCGCCCGCGCCCCCCACCAAGGCUAUAGCCCACCCGUUUUUUGGCCAUUUUUCCGCUGGGGGGUUUUGGCACCACGACCUUCGGGCGCUUAUUUUUGGGCGCGGCUUUGCCCGCGGUUUAUUUUUGGCACCCCGAGGCCCCUCGCAAAGUCUCGUCGCAUUCCGAGUCCGGCGGACGAACUUCGCCCGCGCCCCCCACCAAGGCUAUAGCCCACCCGUUUUUUGGCCAUUUUUCCGCUGGGGGGUUUUGGCACCACGACCUUCGGGCGCGGCUUUGCCCGCGGCUUAUUUUUGGCACCCCGAGGCCCCUCGCAAACUCUCGCCCCAUUCCGAGUCCGGCGGACGAACUUCGCCCGCGCCCCCCGCCAAGGCUAUAGCCCACCCGUUUUUUGGCCAUUUUUCCGCUGGGGGGUUUUGGCACCACGACCUUCGGGCGCUUAUUUCUGGGCGCGGCUUUGCCCGCGGCUUAUUUUUGGCACCCCGAGGCCCCUCGCAAAGUCUCGCCGCAUUCCGAGUCCGGCGGACGAACGUCGCCCGCGCCCCCCACCAAGGCUAUAGCCCACCCGUUUUUUGGCCAUUUUUCCACUCGGGGGUUUUGGCACCACGACCUUCGGGCACUUAUGUUUGGGCGCGGCUUUGCCCGCGGCUUAUUUUUGGCACCCCGAGGCCCCUCGCAAAGUCUCGCCCCAUUCCGAGUCCGGCGGACGAACUUCGCCCGCGCCCCCCACCAAGGCUAUAGCCCACCCGUUUUUUGGCCAUUUUUCCGCUGGGGGGUUUUGGCACCACGACCUUCGGGCGCUUAUUUUUGGGCGCGGCUUUGCCCCCGGCUUAUUUUUGGUACCCCGAGGCCCCUCGCAAAGUCUCGCCCCAUUCCGAGUCCGGCGGACGAACUUCGCCCGCGCCCCCCACCAAGGCUAUAGCCCACCCGUUUUUGGGCCAUUUUUCCGCUGGGGGGUUUUGGCACCACGACCUUCGGGCGCUUAAUUUUGGGCACGGCUUUUCCCGCGGCUUAUUUUUGGCACCCCGAGGCCCCUCGCAAAGUCUCGCCCCAUUCCGAGUCCGGCGGACGAACUUCGCCCGCCCCCCCCACCAAGGCUAUAGCCCACCCAUUUUUUGGCCAUUUUUCCGCUGGGGGUUUUGGCAGCACGACCUUCAGGCCCUUAUUUUUGGGCGCGGCUUAUUUUUGGCACCCCGAGGCCCCUCGUAAAGUCUCGCCCCAUUCCGAGUCCGGGGGACGAACUUCGCCCGCGCCCCCCACCAAGGCUAUAGCCCACCCGUUUUUUGGCCAUUUUUCCGCUGGGGGGUUUUGGCGCCACGACCUUCGGGCGCUUAUUUUUGGGCGCGGCUUUGCCCGCGGCUUAUUUUUUGCCCCCCGAGGCCCCUCGCGAAGUCUCGCCCCAUUCCGAGUCCGGCGGACGAACUUCGCCCGCGCUCCCCACCAAGGUCAUAGCCCACCCGUUUUUUGGCCAUUUUUCCGCUGGGGGGUUUUGGCACCAUGACCUUCGGGCGCUUAUUUUUGGGCGCGGCUUUGCCCGGGCUUAUUUUUGGCACCACGAGGCACCUCGCAAAGUCUCGGCCCAUUCCGAGUCCGGCGGACGAAAUUCGCCCGCGCCCCACACCAAGGCUAUAGCCCACCCGUUUUUUGGCCAUUUUUCCGCUGGGGGGUUUUGGCACCACGACCUUCGGGCGCUUAUUUUUGGGCGCGGCUUUGCCCCCGGCUUAUUUUUGGUACCCCGAAGCCCCUCGCAAAGUCUCGCCCCAUUCCGAGUCCGGCGGACGAACUUCGCCCGCGCCCCCCACCAAGGCUAUAGCCCACCCGUUUUUUGGCCAUUUUUCCGCUGGGGGGUUUUGGCACCACGACCUUCGGGCGCUUAUUUUUGGGCACGGCUUUUCCCGCGGCUUAUUUUCAGCACCCCGAGGCCCCUCGCAAAGUCUCGCCCCAUUCCGAGUCCGGCGGACGAACUUCGCCCGCGCCCCCCACCAAGGCUAUAGCCCACCCAUUUUUUGGCCAUUUUUCCGCUGGGGGUUUUGGCACCACGACCUUCAGGCCCUUAUUUUUUGGCGCGGCUUAUUUUUGGCACCCCGAGGCCCCUCGUAAAGUCUCGCUCCAUUCCGAGUCGGGCGGAACGAACUUCGCCCGCGCCCCCCACCAAGGCUAUAGCCCACCCGUUUUUUGGCCAUUUUUCCGCUGGGGGGGUUUGGCCCCACGACCCUCGGCAGCUUAUUUUUGGGCGCGGUUUUGCUCGCGGCUUAUUUUUGGGCACCCAAGGCCCCCCCCAAUGCCUCCCCCCAUUCCGAGUCCGGGGGAAGAACUUCCCCCGCCCCCCCNNNNNNNNNNNNNNNNNNNNNNNNNNNNNNNNNNNNNNNNNNNNNNNNNNNNNNNNNNNNNNNNNNNNNNNNNNNNNNNNNNNNNNNNNNNNNNNNNNNNNNNNNNNNNNNNNNNNNNNNNNNNNNNNNNNNNNNNNNNNNNNNNNNNNNNNNNNNNNNNNNNNNNNNNNNNNNNNNNNNNNNNNNNNNNNNNNNNNNNNNNNNNNNNNNNNNNNNNNNNNNNNNNNNNNNNNNNNNNNNNNNNNNNNNNNNNNNNNNNNNNNNNNNNNNNNNNNNNNNNNNNNNNNNNNNNNNNNNNNNNNNNNNNNNNNNNNNNNNNNNNNNNNNNNNNNNNNNNNNNNNNNNNNNNNNNNNNNNNNNNNNNNNNNNNNNNAUAGCCCACCCGUUUUUUGGCCAUUUUUCCGCUGGGGGGUUUUGGCACCACAACCUUCGGGCGCUGAUUUUUGGGCGCGUCUUUGCCCGCCGCUUAUUUUGGCUUCCCGAAGGCCCCCCCAAAGUCUCGCCCCAUUCCGAGUCCGGCGGACGAACUUCGCCCGCGCCCCCCACCAAGGCUAUAGCCCACCCGUUUUUUGGCCAUUUUUCCGCUGGGGGGUUUUGGUUGCCACGACCUUCGGGCGCUUAUUUUUGGGCGCGGCUUUGCCCGCGGCUUAUUUUUGGCACCCCGAGGCCCCUCGCAAUGUCUCGCCCCAUUCCGAGUCCGGCGGACGAACUUCGCCCGCCCCCCCCACCAAGGCUAUAGCCCACCCGUUUUUUGGCCAUUUUUCCGCUGGGGGGUUUUGGCACCCGACCUUCGGGCGCUGCUUUUUGGGCGCGGCUUUGCCCUUGGCUUAUUUUUGGCACCCCGAGGCCCCUCGCAAAGUCUCGCCCCAUUCCGAGUCCGGCGGACGAACUUCGCCCGCGCCCCCCACCAAGGCUAUAGCCCACCCGUUUUUUGGCCAUUUUUCCGCUGGGGGGUUUUGGCGCCACGACCUUCGGGCGCUUAUUUUUGGGCGCGGCUUUGCCCGCGGCUUAUUUUUGGCACCCCGAGGCCCCUCGCAAAGUCUCGCCCCAUUCCGAGUCCGGCGGACGAACUUCGCCCGCCCCCCCCCACCAAGGCUAUAGCCCACCCGUUUUUUGGCCAUUUUUCCGCUAGGGGGUUUUGGCACCACGACCUUCGGGCGCUGAUUUUUGGGCGCGGCUUUGCCCGCGGCUUAUUUUUGGCACCCCGAGGCCCCUCGCAAAGUCUCGCCCCAUUCCGAGUCCGGCGGACGAACUUCGCCC
RNAcentral lists this long non-coding RNA (9518 nucleotides) under Citrus x clementina. RNAcentral describes it as "Citrus clementina (C. clementina) long non-coding RNA (CCLE_LNC005935)". The record is from RNAcentral. Lineage: Eukaryota; Viridiplantae; Streptophyta; Magnoliopsida; Sapindales; Rutaceae.